GAUGAACGCUGACAGAAUGCUUAACACAUGCAAGUCAACUUGAAUUUGGGUUUUUUAACUUAGAUUUGGGUGGCGGACGGGUGAGUAACGCGUAAAGAACUUGCCUCACAGCUAGGGACAACAUUUGGAAACGAAUGCUAAUACCUGAUAUUAUGAUUAUAAGGCAUCUUAGAAUUAUGAAAGCUAUAUGCGCUGUGAGAGAGCUUUGCGUCCCAUUAGCUAGUUGGAGAGGUAACGGCUCACCAAGGCGAUGAUGGGUAGCCGGCCUGAGAGGGUGAACGGCCAAAAGGGGACUGAGACACCGCCCUUACCUCUACGGGAGGCAGCAGUGGGGAAUAUUGGACAAUGGAACAAGAGUCUGAACCAGCAAUUCUGUGUGCACGAAUACCGUUUUCGGAAUGUAAAGUGCUUUCAGUUUGGAAGAAAAAAAUGACGGUACCAACAGAAGAAGUGACGGCUAAAUACGUG
RNAcentral lists this ribosomal RNA (468 nucleotides) under uncultured bacterium. RNAcentral's name for it is "partial 16S ribosomal RNA". It matches the Rfam family "Bacterial small subunit ribosomal RNA", at positions 28 to 507 of the family's 1533-position model. The record is from RNAcentral.